Molecule: microRNA precursor, 103 nt
Filed under: Marmota monax (woodchuck)
Lineage: Eukaryota; Metazoa; Chordata; Mammalia; Rodentia; Sciuridae
Source: RNAcentral
AGAGGAAUAGCUGGGUCAAAUUGUGGUUCCAUUUCCAGAUUUCCAAGGAAUCUCCAUACUGCUUUCCAUUUUGGCUGCGCCAAUUUGCAGUCCCAUCAGCAAU